AAAUAAGAAGCAAUUAGUUGCAUUUAGUUUCGACCUAAAAAUUUGAUAUAAAAUAUCCUUAUUUA
Molecule: transfer RNA, 65 nt
Filed under: Cleroidea sp. 2 KM-2017
Lineage: Eukaryota; Metazoa; Arthropoda; Insecta; Coleoptera
Description: tRNA-Arg
Source: RNAcentral